AAACGUCGAUCCUAAAUGGACUGCUUUCGGUUACUUGUUAGAGGUUACGUGAUUCGAUCAAGAGAAAUCGCAACAACGAAGCUUCAAAAUCAGAAAAGUUGGAAACAAAAGUCUUGGUUUUGGGUGUUUAGGCUCCAUGCAAGAGAAGAACGGAUUGAAAAGGAAGCAUCAAUUCAAGGAAGAGAAUAGCAAGAACAAGAGACCCAUUGUCUCUUAUCCACCGACUUUGUUGCCCCACAGUUUGAAACAACAUAUCGUUGAAAAAUUGGGUGGAUCCGAUUGUGUUUUGGUGAUGUAAAAGAAAUUAU
This 308-nucleotide long non-coding RNA is filed under the name Gossypium barbadense (sea-island cotton). Its description in RNAcentral is "long non-coding RNA (GBAR_LNC004310)". The record is from RNAcentral. Lineage: Eukaryota; Viridiplantae; Streptophyta; Magnoliopsida; Malvales; Malvaceae.